This 248-nucleotide ribosomal RNA is filed under the name uncultured Bacillota bacterium. RNAcentral describes it as "uncultured Firmicutes bacterium partial 16S ribosomal RNA". It matches the Rfam family "Bacterial small subunit ribosomal RNA", at positions 796 to 1041 of the family's 1533-position model. Lineage: Bacteria; Bacillati; Bacillota. The record is from RNAcentral.
CCGGCCGUAAACUCUGGGUACUAGGUGUAGGGGGCUUCGAUGCCUUCUGUGCCGUAGUUAACGCAUUAAGUACCCCGCCUGGGGAGUACGAUCGCAAGGUUGAAACUCAAAGGAAUUGACGGGGGCCCGCACAAGCGGUGGAGCAUGUGGUUUAAUUCGAUGCAACGCGAAGAACCUUACCAGGGCUUGACAUCUACCUGAAGGCUUGUGGAAACGCAGGUUGUCUUUCGGGACAGGUAGACAGGUGG